Non-coding RNA from Phalacrocorax carbo (great cormorant), 10441 nucleotides. Lineage: Eukaryota; Metazoa; Chordata; Aves; Suliformes; Phalacrocoracidae. The record is from RefSeq and is a predicted model, not a curated record.
CCUACCCCUGCUUUGCCAUUCAGGAAAGAAUAAUUUUAUAGCUAUUAAUUUCCAAAAAUAAGAGGUUAAUUAAAGCCAACAGCCUAAACUAAUCCCAGAUUAAGAUGGUUUGUAUAUUAAUCACCUGGAGCUACAGCACCAGAAUUUUCACAGGAUAGCUAGGGUUCUGCCGGAUUUUUCAGCAGGAGAAGACACCUCAGAAAGUGAGAAACCCAUGGUUGACUGGCCAGGGGAUGUCUCCUCUGUAGGCUCCAAAAUCAGUGGUACCCUGGGGGUCAGAGCAAGUGUCAUAAAGUAAUUUAAGCAUGGUAAACGUAAUAUUGGAUGUUGUAUACCAAAAUAGCCUGCUGCAAGGCUAUAAUUGAUGCCAAGAGACUCUACAAUGAUGUGAGAAAACCCACUUGCCACCCCAGCUGGGUCAGUGCUGCCUCUCUCUCUUUGACUCACUAUCUUUAAUAACCAAAAUUAUUGCAAGCUGCCUGUAGGCAACCGACUAGAAUCCAUGAGGCAGCAGAGUUCCAGCAACUAGCCCAGUCCUUCAGCCCCACGUCCACGGCUGUGGUUGUCCACAGGGAGCAUGUCCACAGAUAAGUUAGUUUUGCUACCAGGGAGACCCAAGCGAAAGAUAGCUGCAUUGCCCUCGCUGCUGCCAGAGACACAUGGCGGGUUAUCAGUGGGAGGGACCGUGACACACAGCUCUCCACAUGGCUUGGGACAGGGAGCAUCCCCAGUGCAACCCUACAGACCAGUCCCUCUAAAUCCACAAGAGGGAUGUGGGGAGAUAGGCAAGGAUUACCAAAAGAAGCCCCAGAAAGAUGAUAUUGCUGACUAAUAAUAAUUUCUACUAGUCUCACUGAGGAUUGCAUUUAAUGUCAUGCAUUAAAACAUGCCUUUGCUUGACCAUAGCAAUGGCUGUGACUUCAGAAUAAGUUUCCCAAAAUCUUCUCAGGGAAGUACUGGUAGAUGGUCUAUUACAGAAAUACAUAUUAAGACUGUUCAAAGUAAGUAAAAACUUUUUUUUUUUUUACGCCCCCACACCACCCAGUAGUAGGUUAUAGUAGGUGGUUCGCUCUGCAGGACAAACUUGUCUCUGAUUUUCUUCUCUCCUUUUUUCCUGCAGAGUCUACAUGGGCUUGAAAGCUAAGCAAGAUUUGUAGCUUGCACCAAAUCUGAGACAAUGUCUGUGAGUGUACUUGCAGGGAAAUGUGCGUGUAAGUCUCUUCAGGUGGUAACCAAAAGGGUAUUAUUUUUCCAUAUAGCCUACGUUCCUUUUUCAUACCCAAGACCUAACACUUGGAAAACUCAUCUUCGUAAAUUGGUUCCUGUGAAGGAAGUUAUCAUAUAAUGUUUUAUACAGCAUCAGGCAAAAAUUAUCUUUAAGGAUUGGGUCACUACGGUAACCACUUCUUAUCUCAGAAUCAAAAAGCGGUUAUGAUUGUAAUUUAGAAAAGGUAUGCUUUCUACCAAGAAUUAUUCCGAAUUAUAACUCAUUUUCUGUCACAUACUGGAGUUAUUUUUAUUGCCCUCAAAGGCAUCAGCAUUUGUUAUAAUUCAGCAAUGCAACACUUCAUAGAGAGCAACUAUGACCUGCUUUGAAUGUACUGUCAGAAACUGUAGUCGAUGACUUCAACCUCUUAAAUACUUCAACAGACUCCGGCGAAACACCAGGAAUGCUUUUUGUUCUUACAGAGGGGAAAGCGUAAGAUAAAUAAGGCCUCCUGAAAGCGUGUGUUUCAUCACAACUAGCUGCAUAUCCUGAGCCCAGUGAUGUGCAGAGAGGCGUCCAGAGGUUUGCUGCUGUGAGCAGGUGGGUUGGCCACCAAUGCAGAUUUUCCUUUGGCUUAAGUAGAAGUUUUAUUUAAAAAAAAAAAAAAAAAAAGAAAAAAGAAAGAAAACCUCUUGGCUUUUCUUCCUUGGGCACUUGUGCCUAUGACUUCUGUUUCCAGGAUCAUGGUCAUCCAUGGAAACCUUGGCAGAUUGCUGGCAUAUGCUGGGCAUUCACAGGUAAACCACUGUGGCUGCCUUUAAAAACUUUAACAUAAGUAACAGGAGCAUAACGUUCCAUGUGGCUCUGAUCCAGCUAGUGGCAAAGCUGGUUUUCAAUUCAAAGGGAGCAAACCCAGGCUUGCAAUUAGGUGAGCUGCUCCAGCUGGCUCUGAUGGGAGUUGUCCACAGGUGGCUUCAGGGAGGAGGGAAGCCCUCACUGCUAAUAUGGACCAUUUCCAAGGGGGGAGCAGCAGGGUGGUUUCAUCUUCUACUCCUCAGCCUGGGUCUGUGCUGGGCCAGGAGACUUUUAGCAGGAUUUUUGGCACUCACCUCUGGUGUUUCAUUUUUGGGGGGGCUGCAGCCUAUAUGUUCUUCAGCUAAUGCACUAGGGAGCAAAUAUCUGCUUAUGUUUUAUGUAAAGAGUAAUAGAAUUGUUUGCCUAAAUGUUUCUUUUCUUCUACUUUUCCCAAGAGGGAGGCAGAACAAAUGUUUAUUUUCUUGAAAACCUGUAACUUUCAACAUUUCUCCAUAAUUCAGUUGUGAAUCCCUGUGGACACUUGAGCAUUUUCUCCUGGAAGUGGAUUUACUGCUCAGUGGCCACAGUUAUUCCAGCAGGACACUGUGAAAAGCCUUUUUGGUGCCUAAAACAGGGAGCUUGUUCUUCCUGGCCUGGAUGAGCAGGCUCCUGUGCUCCAGAUGGGUGGCAAUGUUAGGUUAAUGAGGCACAAACUAAUAAUUUUCAUUCUUUUGGAGCCGUUCCAGCCACCUAUCAACCCAAACAGCUCUCAGUGGAAGAGGAGUUGUAGUUCACUGAGCUGGCUGAAAGCUUUUGGGAAAGGACCCUGUAAAAACCCCAGCUCGCAGUCACCCAGAAGAGCCCAAAUAUGCCUGAGCACUGCACACGGGAUGGUGGCAGUAGUGUCCACAGAGGCACAGGCCCUGCCUGUGUUUUGAGGCUGGUACAGGGAUGCUCUCAGCAACAAGCUACAGCCUUCCCUUCACACGGGCUGACGCCGUGGACUUUCCGGUUGAACUUCUUGCCACCUAGAGAAGGACUUCCGCAGUGUGAAAUCCUGCUUACCACCAAGGACUUGUAUCAUAGUACCAGCCAGUGGGGACCACAACUCCUCCCUUAACGAGCCGCUCUGUGAAUAGUGGAAUUGAGACGUGCUGCAACAUGCAGGACCAACCAAUGCCUCAGUGCCACAGGCUCAAAACAGAGGAAAGGAUGCUGAAGCUCUUUACCUUGCCUGGGUAUUGGGAACCGACCUCUUCCUCCCUGCUCUCCCAGCAGUGCCUUGGCGUCAGAAAUGCAAAAGCCCACCAGAGAGGGUUUGGGGAAGAAGAGGACGGCUGUGUAGGAGGACUCCUGUGUAGCACCACAGCUUCAGUGGUCCUCAUGCUGAGCCCUGAAGAGCCCUUGGCAAUGAUAAUUACUCAAGAUUGCGGAGGCUACAGCAAUCAGAGUGAUGCUAAGCUUGGAGGAGCCUACUUCAGUUUGAAGUACAUUAGCAUGCCCAGUACUGGAGCACAGAAACCAGCGUGAUAAACCCUAAUGUUGUGAAGUGAGAAAAAAAUCCUGCUGUUUGAGAUGGCUACCGGGAUGAGGUGGCCUUCCAUCUACUUCCUCAGCCUGAAUUCAUUUCCUUUUCCUCUGGAGAGAGUAGGAUGUGAUGGUCCUUGCCCAUGGGGCUCAGAAAGAAGGAAACAAAAGGGAUUUGCUUGCAAGACAGAAUGCACAUUGCCAAGGCAGGACCAACCCAUCAUCUCUCUGCUGGCAAACAAAACAUCAAGCAGAGAAAAACCCUCCUGGAGCUCCAACAUCCACUGUGUCCACCCUCUACCCAUUGCUCCAAAGCUGAGUUAAUGUUUUUAAAUUGUUUCCCUGUGCAGGAAUGCCUGCCCUGCAACCUGCUGGUGGAGAAGCUCAAGGGGCCAGAGCUUCACACUGCCUUUGCUUCUCGAAGCAACAUCCUGCCAUGACAUGACUUUUUUGAGACUUCCUCUAGAUGUGCCAGUGGGCUGGUUAAUGGAGUCGGGGGAGAGAGAAACUGGGCCAAAAGAAGUGGCCAGGAGAUCCAAGUAAUGAAGUGCAAUGUCAGCAAUGUCCCUGCCUCCUAGCAGAGGUCCUUCAACCAGACAUACUCGUGGGUGAGAAAGGAGGUGUGGAUGUGACAGUUGCUGAAACCUUCAACAGAUGUUGCAUAUGAACAGAUUACUUGUGCUGAAAGGUGAGCACCUGAACAAUCAGAUCAGCCAUUUACAGUUCCCUCAGCAAGUUUAGUCUUCCAUCCCUGUAAAGCCACGCCAUGAACCAAAUGAGGCAGAGAUCCCAGGAGGAAAAAAAGGUGUCAGGUACCAUACACACUAGAGGAGGCUGCGCUGCAUUGCAGCACCAACUGCGAUGCUGUGUCCUCCCUUCCAGCUCCAACACAAACAGUAUUCUUCUCAUGUAUAGAAAAAAAAAAUAAUCCCAGCAGCUUUUCAAAAAGAAAAGCCAAAUUUAUUAAAUUGCACAUUCCUUCACCCUGGCUUUCCAAGGUGAGUUUUGAUCCAGAUGCCCCCGGGGCACUAGAGCUCUCCAAGCACACAGCCCCACAGGCAGAUGCAGGGCCAGCGGGUCUCCCCACAGGUGCCCAUCUCCCAUUACCCAUUUUCUACAUAAGCCUCACGGUGGAGGUGGCCAAGGCGAGGGGAUCCUCAGGUGGAGCGGGAACGUCCCGGUUGCACCUCCCCGCUGCUCCUGCCAUUUGAGCUGCCAUGCUGGUCUGUGAGACCACAGGUUGGUAGACUCCAUUCCCCUCCCCUCCAGAGGAUCAUGAAUGUCAAAGAAGAAGGUUUUCCAGAACUCAGUCCAACAUGCACAAAAAUAAUCGCAUCGCCAAUGGCAAGAGUUUUCUGUGCUGCACCUCAUGGCUCACUGGGACACUGGGAAGGCUGCUGCUUCUCCAGUAAGUGAAUCAGACACCUGAGACCUGCACUCCUCUGCCCUACAGGCACGGGUAAUUCUUUAAACAGUUCAAGCACAAACUGGGCACUGAUUAUCUAGACUUGAAAGUGGGACAAGAAUGAAAAGAAACUCCUCAAAAAAUAUAUUUUUUUUAGGAAGACAGAGGAGUGUAAGGAGGGAUUUGUAUGCCGUGCUUGACAACCUGACUGGUAUGGGGGAGAGCGAAAGUGAUGAAGUGGGAAAGAGGCAGCCGUGCCAGGGGGGAGAUUUCUCCCCACAAAGCAAGCAAGGCAAGCUCUCUGUCUCCCCAACAUCAGGUCACCUCCCUGUGUUUCCACUGAGCUUCGGGUAGCAGCAGGCACUGAAGGCUUUUCUCUUUGCCUAAUCCGUAACUACUGCUCUGAGAGGUAUUUCAGCACCAUCGUACUUUUGCAUUCCCAAAGCAGGUCUAAGCACCACCCGUGGGUCAGAAACCUAAUACGAGACAACAGAAAGCUUGACAUUAAUUCAGGGGGUUUUAGGUACUGUCUAAAUAAUGUGACUUCAAUGGGAUGUGUGCAUGCAAGAAAAGCACAGCGUGCACUUCUCUUCCCCUUCUUCCUCAUCACUUCUUCUUUAGACUUACAGGCUUAAAGAAACUUUUUCCUUGAUAUCUACUGUAGGUUAAAUGUACCCUUGCCUGCAUGUGUCCAAAGCAAAGAAAAACCACCCAAAGCAGGACAUUGGUAUCAGCAGGGCCGAGCCAUUGCCACACCCCAGCUUGCACUUCUCCAGGUAGCAGGGCAGGAACACAAAGCAGAGGUCUGGCUUUCAGUGGGGAGGGAUGCCAAAGUUUGCAAGCAACUUCUGCAAUGCCGAGACAUUGCAUGGCAAAACCCAUCAAGGUUGUGUGAAGACGUGACUUGUCAGCAGGGGCUGCUGGGUUUCCUGCAGCAGGCAGGACGUGUUUUGGUACCCCUCUGCCUGUGCCAGAAGCCCAUUUGCAGUUUCAGCAGUUGCUGUAUCAGCUUUACAGCCACAGCCCAGAUUUCUGCUGCCAGAAAUACUAGGCUGUGAGCAGCUGGGUGCCGUCUUUAUGGCCGUGGGCAUUAAUGUGCCUGUAACUCACUCAUCCUUUUUCGAAGGAAGGGUUUGCACCAGAGAUCCUGGAGAGAUCAUUGGUGGCCUCAUUGCAUUUUUUUAGCUGAUAAAAUUCUCUCGCCAGGGAAAGCCAGCACCCUGUGACCCUGCAAUUUAAAUUACGUAUUCAGGCUGGUUUUUUUAGGGAGCAGUCACAAGCACAGGCCUCUUGCAGCACCUUUUAUUCAAAGGUAGAUAGUCAGAAGACUCUUCCCACUUUGCAGAUGUGCUGUUGCAUUUAGUGAUAGGAAGCAUCAUUAUAAUCACCUUAGUGAUACUUCUGUUGAGGCUUAGAAAAUUUAUGGUCUCUUGCUGUCUUCCCCUUCACCUGAAUCUGCUUCCCCCUGCUCUCACCAACACAAACACCUUCUGCCUCUUUGCUGAACAAAUGCAACGUGAAAGAGAGGAUAAACUCUUCAGGAGUGUUUUUUCCUGCACCAAGCAGAAAAACCUGGGUGUGGUUUUCCAUGGGUCUGCAAACAGUGGUCAGAACAAACUGGAAAAUUGGGUGUGUCUCCCAUCGCAAGGGCCAAGGCACUGGUGGCUGCUGUUCAGCCUGCCUGGCCUCCCAGAGCAGGGAGGGGAAACCACAGGGAUGCAGGGGGUGGCAUAUGCAGCUGGGAAUUAGGAAAUAUAGUACUAGUUCCUGUAAUAUGACAAAGGAAGUGUAUCUCGUUCAUGGAUGCUGCUGCCACCCCAGCUACAUGCUGGGCUCUUGUUGGAUUGAAAAUUACCCUUUUUGUUAUCUAGGAGGAGACAACAGGAUGCUGGUGGAUGUAUCGGUGAUAUGUUUAUGUGCCUGUGCUGGUUUUAAGAUGUUUAAAGCUCACCAGGGCUAUGUUAUUUGAUGUGGUUGAAUCAGGGUAGCUCCCAAAGUCCCCAGGCCUUCCCAGAGCGAGUCACUGCUCAGAUCCACUGCUUGCAAGGAUUGGACCCGUUUAGCAUUAGUGGCAGUGGCGGGGCGGGGAGGCUUUCCAUGGUUGUUUUGACUCAGCAAAUUAGAACGAGAAAGCUUUGAGAGGAGUUUUCAGCAGGCAUUACAUCAAAUGCUGCAGUGGAUGGAUUUAGCUCCACUCAUCUGCUGCAGUGUGCUCCUGCUAUUUGGCCAGGUGACCUGAGCGUUAGAGCUGUGACAGUGAGGUGUACGAGAGAGAUACAACAUUUCCAUGCUCAGGAGCCAAGACGAACAUGGAAGAAAUAUCUGAAAAGAAAUUUUGUACAACCUGAGCUACCCAUUUUUAAGGUAGCGAUGGGCUGAUAUUGCUGGGUAGCUGAGCACUUGCCAACUUCCAGGCAAGCCAUUUCUGUAAGUGAAUAUGAGGACAGCAAAGGCAGGCACUAUCGUUAUGAAUGGGCAAGAAACCCAAGGAUCUGCGGGAUCUUUGUACUCGUGUCUGAGUGACAGCUUGGCACUACUCCAGGAAAUUUUGCAUGGAAACACAUCACAGAGGCUCCAUAUUUACUCAAUCAACAGGAAUCUGCUCUUCAGUUUGAAUUUUACUAUCUAUUAAAAGAGGCUUAUGGAGUACUGGACUGCAUGCCUGACAGUUUGUGAACAUGGGUUUUGUCCACAAAACUUGCUCCCCUCAUGCAGCCAGGUGUAAAGGCCGUCAGGAAAGGACCAGCUGUGCUGACUCUGCUGGCUGUGCAGGUCCUCGGUGGCCAUGGAGCCUGUCCUCCACCCCUCUGCACUUUCACUAGGCCAAGCACUCAUCCUUUGGGUGAUGGGAAUACAUUUUAUUCAGCUUUUUCUAAAUGCUGGAGCAGCCACAAGAGGCUUUUCAUUCUACAGUUUUUCAGUCAUUAUAUAUAGAAAAAAAAAAAUCCUAAAUCAUAUCUUGCAAAUGGUUUCAGGACUACUUACUGGUGUGGUUUCCACCUCACAUAAGAAGGAAAAUGUGUGCAUCUGGGGUUUUCUCCCCGUCUCUGAAAAAGUGAGUUAUAUUACAGUUGUCACUGCUGUUUUGUGAACAAGUUUUGGGCAAACAGCCUGGGAACUGCUGAACGUGCCAGAGACCCAAGGCCCCGACUCAGUUGUUCAUCUUGCUUUAUAAAAUAAUUUAAUAUAAAAUAAUUUAAGCAUGGACUUAAACGCAUUGCUGAAUUGGGACGUUGGGGCAAAACCUGCUGGAUUCUGUCAAUCUUAAGCAGAUAUUUAUCAGGGCUUGGGCAAAGCCACUGAUGCUCUGCUUACAGUAUUUCAUAAAAAUCCUGUUGGUAAUAACUUGGACACCAGCACACAGGCAUUUUGGGAAACAAAUGAGGAUCAACCAGCUUUGUGCUGGAUAAGUCAUAUGGAAGAGGGGGAAAAUUGGCUGAUUUUGCUGUUUUUAAGGCAGCUGGCCAUGCCAAUGUGAGCAGCAAAUGGAGGAGAGCCAGGCGAGAGCCAGCCAUGGAGACGACCAUGAUGGUCAGCUAUUCAUUUUGGAGGAAAAUUGGCAGUAAAAGGGAUCUGGUCAGCAUUAAGCUCUGGCAGCAUUUAUUCUAAUUUUGUUGAGCUGACUCCUUAAUUAAAUGGUCGCUUUAAGGGGAGUAGAAGUGUCGGCUGUGCGGUAGCAAAAGGUGGAGGCUGCCACCCAAUUCACCUCUUUUUUCUGAAUGCCAAGAAAACAUUUUCACCUCUGAGAGGCUCUUCUCCCAAAAUCUACCUAUCCUUCCCUGGCUGUUCACGGCAGGAAGAGGGAGGGUCUCCCUCCUCCUGCUGUGGCUGCCCACCACUGUACCCUAGCCAUGGAGGAUAAUUUUGCCUCUAGUUUUCAAACAGCACCCAAGCAUUUGCCUUUUCCUAGGGGACAACUUAAUAGCUUUCCUGGACUUAUUUUGGGCUAUAACAUGGCUAUAUUUCAAUGCCUUUUGUUAACCCUUUAUCAAAAGCAAGCAUAGUAAAGAUGUGGAAAAAGACCUACAGUUUGCUUUUUUUCCUAGCUGAAGGUCUUGUUUCCUUCUCCUCCUGCCCAGGGCUUGCUUUGUGUCUCAACUCAGCAGCCCCUCCAACUCACAGCGCUCUUCCAAAAAGACUGAUAUAAACUUCAGACAUAUGAGAAAUACAGUAGUUUUUAUCUUUGCACCACUAAGAUGCGACGCUGAGGCAACAUAACUUAAAAGCAACAUUUUGGAAAGUUGGCAGUAAAAAUAUGACUGACAGGGCAGGACUGGGGUUGCCUCUAUGGAUGGGGCUACCAGGGAAAAAGGUCAGCUGGAAUACCUUGAAGCUGACCUCCUUAAUGUCAUACAGGAAACUCAGAGUCACCGCUGGCAGUGCAGAGGGCAGGGAUGGUUUCCCAGACAGUUUGGAAUUUGUGGGUCCAUCGUGCUCUGUUUUCUUCAGCUCAUGUGGGGCAGUGAUGGUAACCUGAGGUUUCUAAUGCAAGUGGCUCCUCACUGGGGAAAAGCAUCUGUGUCCAGGUGAAACUUCAGGCAAUAGCUGUGUGCAUUUGCCUGCACGCAUGUGAUGCAUGUGCAGGCAGCGAAUUCAGCAGUUUGCCCCCUUGCCAUCAAUGAUGCAAUCGCUGAUGUGCGUGACCAGCGCCUCUCGCUAACAUCUGGAUGACAGGCAGUGAAGGAAAACCAGAUUUGCAAGAAGGUCUGUAGCAGAUCCAGUGAGUGCUGGAGCCGGCAGCAAUGUGUCAGUAUGCAGGCAGCACUUGGAGCUAUUCUGGAUCUCACAUUUGGCUUCUGUCUUAAGAUAAAUUAAAUAUCUUUUCAUCACAAAUGGCACUCUGCCAGUUUCCUGGGACGAGCUCUGCGCCUUGUACAUGGCUUGUUUUGUUCAACAAACCCUAGGCAGGGAAAGAAAAAUUGCCCAAGCCUGGAAGAACGGGACCUGUUCUUUCUAAGGUUCCUGAGCUAAAGCAUCAUCUGCCCUCGGCAGAGUUAUUCAGGCUCAGCAGAAGAGAUUAAUUGCUUUAAAACAGGAUUUCCUCAGCCCUAGGCUCCAUGUUGCCGCGUUACUCUCUGCCAAAACAGCCGAUGUAUUAUGUGAUGGAUACCACAUCCAGGAAGACAAAUAAAAUAUCAUCUCUUCAUUUGCUAUUGACCCCUGCGCUGCUGGCUUGGAUUUUUUGUGAGUUUGGAGAGACUUCUGUCCAGCCAGUACCUACGGCCAAUCUGCAAUGGGGUGACUGGCUUCAAGCAACCCAAAUGCCGUCAGUUUCUUCCCUGCAAGCCACCGCCUUGCUGUUUAAGACUAGCGCUACCAGACCGUUACCCCAUACAUGGCACUGUCUGGCUUAAUGGGAUUAUAACACCAUCUGCUGAGGAUGGACUUUUAUUUUGUCUUGCAGGUUUAUAAAGGGCCGUGGACUCUGGUCUCGAGCUGUUGGGGCAAGUCAAGGAAAACAAAACCUCCUCACAUCCCUCCCUGGGCUAGCCAUAGCUGUGGCACCA